This 683-nucleotide long non-coding RNA is filed under the name Setaria italica (foxtail millet). Its description in RNAcentral is "long non-coding RNA (SITA_LNC001950)". Lineage: Eukaryota; Viridiplantae; Streptophyta; Magnoliopsida; Poales; Poaceae. The record is from RNAcentral.
CCGCUUUCUAGAAUUCAAAAUACGUGUCUUGCUAGUACCAUGCUGCUCAAAACUGUCACUUUUGGUUCAAGUCUCGGGACAUAAAAAUGGCGUUCGACCAUGAAAGGGACGUGAGCGGCGAGUUACGUGUGUGAACAACACCGUCCCCUAGAUGACAAAAGAGCACUUUCGAGUUGCCUUGCUUCAUCAUCAACCUUCCUUCAAUGAGUUCAAUCCUUCUUCGUCUUCCACCGGGACCAUGCCACGGGACACCAAAUCAGCAGCAUCGCUUGCACUCAACACCUUCUCCCAUAGUUGCUCAACAGGAUUCUUACUGCAAUUACGUCCCUGUGUGAGUAAACAUUGAGGUUACGCAAGCAAAAACUACUCGAUAAAGCAGCACCAUUUCGGGAUUUUCACCAGUUCACCUGCUGUAGUGCUGUUGUUUCGUUUCUGCAGUGGAAGUACGGCGCCUGGACUCGUCACCAGAUUUUUCUCCCACGGGUCCGUCGCGUCGCGUCCAUCAGGUCGCCGGUUCCCAGGCCAGUGAGCAUUCUGCAGCGGCGACCGGCGAGGGGUGCCGACCGCCGGCGUGUCCGCGGCUCACGGUGGACGGGUUCCAACGACGCCGACGGGGGACAGGCACAGCACCACCGCGACGAGGACCGGAAACGUGGCGCCCGAAAGGCCGAUGUCUGUCACCG